RNAcentral lists this non-coding RNA (25 nucleotides) under Mus musculus (house mouse). Lineage: Eukaryota; Metazoa; Chordata; Mammalia; Rodentia; Muridae. The record is from RNAcentral.
UGACUCUAGAAUAGUCAUGUGACCU